UCAGUUCAAAGGCAAACCUAUUGAAAGAUAGGGACGCAAAGUCACAGAUCUACAGUGGUUCUAUACACACUAAGAUGGCUGGGCUGCCUGG
Molecule: non-coding RNA, 91 nt
Filed under: Metabacillus harenarius
Lineage: Bacteria; Bacillati; Bacillota; Bacilli; Caryophanales; Bacillaceae
Description: Bacillus weihaiensis c-di-GMP sequence
Rfam family: c-di-GMP-I riboswitch aptamer
About the family: GEMM was predicted in a large-scale screen for bacterial structured RNA regulatory elements. Genes associated with GEMM are involved in a diverse array of functions, including chemotaxis regulation, signal transduction, secretion and chitin.
Source: Rfam by way of RNAcentral